This 180-nucleotide ribosomal RNA is filed under the name uncultured Glomeromycotina. Its description in RNAcentral is "partial small subunit ribosomal RNA". The stretch from base 92 to 180 matches the Rfam family "Eukaryotic small subunit ribosomal RNA", at positions 738 to 829 of the family's 1831-position model. Lineage: Eukaryota; Fungi; Glomeromycota. The record is from RNAcentral.
GACCUGGCUGGGCGGUCCGCUUAACGGCGUGUACUGUCUGGCUGGGCCUUACUUCUUGGUGAGCCGGUGUGCCCUUUAUUGGUGUGCAUCGGGGAACCAGGACUUUUACCUUGAAAAAAUUAGAGUGUUUAAAGCAGGCGUUUGCUUGAAUACAUUAGCAUGGAAUAAUGGAAUAGGGCU